RNAcentral lists this ribosomal RNA (253 nucleotides) under uncultured bacterium. Its description in RNAcentral is "partial 16S ribosomal RNA". It matches the Rfam family "Bacterial small subunit ribosomal RNA", at positions 524 to 776 of the family's 1533-position model. The record is from RNAcentral.
UACGGGGGGGGCAAGCGUUGUUCGGAAUUACUGGGCGUAAAGGGCUCGUAGGUGGCCAACUAAGUCGGACGUGAAAUCCCUCGGCUUAACCGGGGAACUGCGUCCGAUACUGGUUGGCUUGAGUUUGGGAGAGGGAUGCGGAAUUCCAGGUGUAGCGGUGAAAUGCGUAGAGAUGUGGAGGAACACCGAUGGCGAAGGCAGCCUCCUGGGCCAGCACUGACGCUCAUGCACGAAAGCGUGGGGAGCAAACAGG